Molecule: RNA transcript, 4723 nt
Organism: Lutra lutra (Eurasian river otter)
Lineage: Eukaryota; Metazoa; Chordata; Mammalia; Carnivora; Mustelidae
Gene: TPCN2
Gene name: two pore segment channel 2
Exons: 26
Source: RefSeq, a predicted model, not a curated record
CUCCACGCCUGCGCAGUGGGGCUCGCGCUCGGCACCCGGCACUCCCGGCAGGGUUCGAGCGGCGCGCGGCGGUUCCAUGGCGGAACCCGGAGCGGAGUCGGAGCCCCUUCUGAGCCGGGCCCGGGGUGACGGCGGCCGCGACUGCCCUGCGGGCUCAGCCUCUUGCCGCCCUGGUGCCCUGUCUUGGCGGGACCUCUGCUUUGACCAGGCUGCUGUCUUCAUCGAAGAUGCGAUCCAGUAUCGCUCCAUUAACCACCGCAUGGACGUCAGGUCAAUGUGGCUUUACCGGUUGUAUUACUCGAACACGUGCCAAUGGAUAUUGAGCCUCACCAUUUUCUUGAUCCUGUUUUUGGCCUUUAUCGAGAGCCCUUCCUCGCUCACUAGCACCGCGGACAUCCGCUACCGCUCGGCCCCCUGGGAUCCACCCUGCGGCCUGACCGAGGGCGUCGAGGUGCUCUGCCUGCUGGUCUUUGUGGCCGACGUCUCUGUGAAGAGCUACCUGGUUGGGUGGGCCCAGUUCCGGACGAACCCCUGGCUGCUGGCCUACCUCGCGGUGCUGGUCGUGUCUCUCACGGACUGGAUCGUGUCGCUGAGUCUGCUUUGCCAGGAGCGGCUGCGGAUCCGCAGGCUCCUGCGGCCAUUCUUCCUGAUGCAGAACUCGUCCAUGAUGAAGAAGACGCUCAAGUGCAUCCGGUCGUCGCUGCCGGAGAUGGCCAGUGUCCUGCUCCUGCUGGCGCUGCACCUGUACAUCUUCACCAUGUCUGGGAUGCUGCUCUUCACAGGCGAGAAGCAGGGCGAUGGGCAGGACCGGGAGAGGCUGAUCUAUUUUCGCAACCUGCCGGAGGCUCUGACCUCCCUCCUGGUGCUGCUGACCACCGCCAACAACCCUGACGUUAUGAUUCCUGCAUAUUCCAAGAACCGGGCCUACGCCAUCUUUUUCAUAGUCUUCACCCUGAUCGGGAGCUUGUUUCUGAUGAACCUGCUGACGGCCAUCAUCUACAAUCAGUUCCGGGGCUACCUCAUGAAGUCCUUCCAGACCUCGCUGUUCCGGAGGCGGCUGGGAGCGCGGGCCGCCUACGAGGUGCUCUCCUCCGUGACGGCCGAGGGAGAAGCCCACCCCCGAGAAGUCGGGGUGCGGCCCCAGGACUUCCUGCAGGUGCUUCAGCGAGUCCAGCUGUCCGGCUCCCACACACAGGCCGUCGUGGAGAAGGUGCGUUCCUAUGGUGGCGACCUGCUGUCAGCCGGCGAGUUUCAGAAACUCUUUAAUGAGUUUGACAAAAGGGUGAUUAAAGAGCCCCCGCCACGGCCCGAGUACCCAUCUCCCUUCUUGAGGAGGGCCCAGAUCGUCUGCAGCCACCGCUACUUUGACUACCUGGGGAACUUCAUCGCCCUUGGGAACCUCGUGUCCAUUUCUGUGUUCCUGGUGAUAGAUGCAGACGUGCUGCCCGAGGACCGAGACGACUUUGUCCUAGGGAUUCUCAACUGCGUCUUCAUUCUUUACUACCUGCUGGAGUUGCUGCUGAAGGUGUUUGCCCUGGGCCUGCCGGGCUACCUGGCCCAUUCCAGCAACGUGUUCGACGGCCUGCUCACCGUCGUCCUGCUGGUUUUGGAGAUCUCAACUCUGGCUGUGUACCGAUUCCCACACCCGGGCUGGAAGCCAGAGACGCUGGGCCUGCUGUCGCUGUGGGACAUGGCCCGGCUGGUGAACACGCUCAUCGUGGUCCGGUUCCUGCGCAUUAUCCCAAGCCUGAAGCUAAUGGCUGUGGUGGCCAGUACCGUCCUGGACCUGGUCAGAAACAUGCGGGCUUUUGGCGGGAUCCUGGUGGUGGUGUACUACGUCUUCGCCAUUCUGGGCAUCAGCCUGUUCCGCGGCGUCAUCGUGGCUCCUGGAAACGGCAGCCUGAGCCCUGACAACAGCUCGGCACCCUGCGGAAGCUUCGAGCAGCUGGAGUACUGGCCCAACAACUUUGAUGACUUUGCGGCCGCCCUCAUCACCCUGUGGAACGUGAUGGUGGUGAACAACUGGCAGGUGUUCCUGGAGGCCUAUCGGCGCUACUCGGGCCCGUGGUCGAAGAUCUACUUUGUGUUGUGGUGGCUGGUGUCGUCUGUCAUCUGGGUCAACCUGUUUUUGGCUCUGAUCCUGGAGAAUUUUCUUCACAAGUGGGACCGCCGCAGUCACCUGCAGUCCCUCGCUGGGGACCCGGACAGCACCUAUCAGAUGAGUGCAGAGCUCUUGUUCAGGGCCUGGUGGUGUCUGUGUGAGGCUGAUGCUCAGUCAGUAUCUGUGAGGGGAAGAAUCUGGAGCUCUUGCUGCCGUCGAAUGCCGGGAAGAACAGACGGCGUCUUACCUCCAGCACUAGCAUUGUCUAGGCAUAUGCGCUGCGGGGCUGGGAUCUGUCAGGCAUGGACGCAAAGUGGGAUGAGAGCGGAAAAGGCUGAGGGCCAGGAGCAGGAGGAAGCGGCUGCACGUAUGCCCGCGGAGGACCCACACCCGCCCCAGGCCUGUGUGGAGCUCCCUGGCGGCCUUGGGGAAAAAGGGAACAGGUUUCUGCCAGAGGCGGCGGUGGGUGGCUGGGUGGUGCGAGGCCCAGCAGGGGUGGAGGCAUGCCGGGUGGGGCUGGGGCCCGAGGCCUCGCUGUCCUCGGCUUGUUUCCAGGUCUUCAUGGGGGACCCACGCCGGUAAGGUUGUGAAAGCCGCUAACACGUAACGGGAUUCUCGAGAGACCAAAGCAGUGGUGAUGAUUAAGAUGAAGAACCGCGAUUUGGGUGGCGCCUCCCACGUGCUCUCCUGAGCCCUUCACGAGGCAGGUGUGGGCUUGUUUUGUCCCAUGGAGUCACGGGCUCGGGCGGCGCUGACACAUGGGUAAGCCGAGGCACGGAGUACAGAGAGGCGGAGGCCCCCUGGCUGUUCACGGCACUGCCUCCCCCUGGCCCGGCCUCCACUCUACCCCCUCCAUCCCUCCACACGUCAGUGCCACGCGUGUGCCGGAGACAAAUGUCUGUGAUGUUUGUAGAGACACGCCUGCGGCGUCAGACCGUCCUCCCCUGCACGCAGGAGGGUCCCGACAGCCCCCACGGGGUGUGGGAAAUGACAGGCAUGACCAGGGGCGCUUUGGGGGGCAGGCUGGGCUCCUUGUGACUUCCUCCCACUUAGCUACCAUCCAGAGAGGCUCCCGGCACCUGGUCUGUGCCCCACCUGCCGCACGCAGUGACCUUGACACGCAGUUAGCCUUCCUGAACACUCGCUCCCUCUACUGGAAAGGAGGUGGGGGGCUGCGGACUGGAAUAAUGACGCUGAAGGAGCGGGUGUGCUGACCCCGGAGCCUGUGCCGACAGGUGGCCAGGCAGAGUGUGUGCCCAAGACUGUCACGAAGGCAGAUUCGCUCAGCCCCGAGGAGCCUGUGACAGGGCCUGUGCCUGCCCAUGGGUAUGACACUUGCUGCUGGACCCUGGACAGGCCUCCACACAUCUCCAUCACAGUGGCCUCUCGCCCCCCAUGUGGCCCGCCUCUGGCCCCGGGAAGCCUCCAGUGGUCCUGGCCCCAUUGACUAGAGGCUGGGGUUGCUGUCCUGCUGCACUGGCUGCUGCCACUGUCCCCAGUGGCCCUCGAGGUGACCCUGAGCCCAGCACAUCGUGUUGGCAGCUGGAGGGCGCACCAUGGUGGCAAAAGCCGUGCCCCCUCCCCUCUGGGCACUUUCGGUCUCCUGCAAGCAAGAGGGCUUCCGAGACGGGGGCUGGUUUGUAUCCGUUUCCUUGGUCUCUUCCGUUCCUGUUGGCAGAGCUCCAUCUUGGGUAGUCAUGCCGCCCGGGUUCAGAUGGAAGGUCCCUGAUAGCGUCCCCCCUGCGCUGUGUUUGCCUAGAAGCAAAGCCACCAAUGCCCCAACCUGUUACUCUUUCCUCACGAUGGUACCAAGGUGGGCGGCUUGUCCUUUUGACCAUGUUGCAGUCGGACCCUCCUACACUGACUUCUUCCCUGAGAAAGGUGUUUAAGGGAAGGACAGGACGUCUACUGGGCAUCCCCCAGGCCCAGGCAGGAAGUGGAUUAUGGAGAAAGUCGGCACGAGCGGCUUUAGAAUCAACUGGAAAGUUCCUGAUCGGGCAGACAGUGGACGUUGGUUGCCCUUGCGGUGCUCGGGGUUCGCCAGGCAGCUGCCGAUCUGUGGCCCCUUCUUAGGAAAAGGUCUGAGAACUGUGCCCUAAAACACGUGGAAACACAAGGAGAGUAAUUAUAUUGAGAAACUGCUAACGGGAUAUUAACAAAUCCAAACGUGGGACAGAGGAGAGCCACAGCCUGCCCCCAGUUCACAACAUUUUGAGAUGUGGGCCCGGGCGGCCACGUGACGGGAAGGUACCUGCGAUUUCUGCUCGGGAAGGCAGGAGCUCUCCCUGAUCCCUGUGGUUUGGUUUCGCCACCCAAGUCCUCAGGUCCCCGGAACCAUGGAGGUCCCGGAACCAUGGAGGUCCCGGAACCAUGGAGGUCCCCAUUGAUUUCCUGCUGGGACUCCCCCUGCCCCCACCUUCCCUGAGUUAUGGGGACACUAGUGACUUAGUUCUGAUUUCGGCCAAGGCUGAGGGCGGUGGCCCCACCCCGCCGCCAGGAGGCCUCCCCGGCGCCCCCAUCAGAAUGAACCCCCUCCUGCUCCCACCACAUUUUCUCUCUGUUCCAACAGGUGAGCACCCAGGGUCCUGGAGGGUCUCAAGCCUCCUCCAUCCCAAUAAAUGA